GCCCAGUUAUGGGGGGAGUGGGGCCCGAUUUUACUGUAGGGGCAGUACUGAGAGGGGGCAACCGUGAAAGGGUUGCCACCUCCUGCUGAGAAGGGAAGUGACAGGGCCAUAGCUGGCCGGCAGAGGGAGAGCCACCGCGCGCCCUUGAGACAAAGGGGGCAGCUGGGAGCUCCUGGACCAGAGAACAGGGGAAGAUGGGACCUCACUGAGGGACCCUCACCCAUGCAAAACUGGGGGCCGCCACCUCACCCCCUUACUGGCAGCCGAUUCCGGCGGGCCUGAGACAAGGGGGGGCAGCUGGAAGCCCCCGAAGCAAGGGGGAAGAGAGGAUGGGACCUCUCAGAAGGGGGUCUCAUCCCUUAAACAAAAGUAUUUAAGCCCCA
This 383-nucleotide long non-coding RNA is filed under the name Phoenix dactylifera (date palm). RNAcentral describes it as "long non-coding RNA (PDAC_LNC013098)". Lineage: Eukaryota; Viridiplantae; Streptophyta; Magnoliopsida; Arecales; Arecaceae. The record is from RNAcentral.